AAAAGCCAGACCACAAUAAGGCCACUGCAGUCAGCUACCACAGAAUUUGCGAUCUGAUCCUACGCUUACAGUAAACCCUGUCGACAAAGAGGGAAACGGUUUCCUCUUUUUCUGGAUAUCACAGGUGAAGAUCAAGAGAGGAUCUCAUUAUAUAUAGCUGCCUUUUCUUCUGGCUGCUGCCCUGUCGAUCAUCCUCCAUGAAUGGGGAUCCCCAGGUCGGUCCUCAGCUCCUGAGGACGAAGGGCAGUGGGGAGUCUGGAGAGGGGGGCUCGCAAAACUCCUGGACCGCCAAAGACAGAACAACCUGGGGGGAACUGCGAUGACACCGUCGUGCAACCAUGGGUCAUGGCAGCAUCAUCAGAGGAAACUGUUGUAUGAACAAUGCCGCUCCACACAAGGCCGGCCCGGAGAUUGCACAGUGGGAACAUAAGAUGGGACCUUUAACACCCUGAGACCUGCCGUGCCGCUGGCAAUCCCGACCGACUUUCUGUCUUCAAGAGGUUGUAGUGGGCUGAGUUUUAAAGCUAGAGUGAUACUGGCAUCAUAUGAAACUAGAAGACCUAAGGGAUACAUUGGUACCAACCAUGUCAUGCUUCUCAGGAAGAGAGCUAAAUGAUGCUCCAAAGUUUGACUUAAUUCACAAGGGUCCCUUGACCUCUCACCUUAAGAUAUCUAAAUGAAACUGAGUUCUGUGGGUACCCACUAGUCUCCCCUUUACAGGUAUGUCCACUUUAUGCUGGUCCCAUUUAUGUCCCAUAAAUGUGUUAUUUUUGCCCAAUAUAUUUGAAUAUUUCUGUGUACUGGUGUCCCUAAACAGACUUGGAAAUGCAUAAAUUGGGUAUGACUGGAAAGCUGAGACUCUUGUGGAUUCAGUGAGCCCAGUUUUAUUUGUGUGAUGAAGUUAGCCCACAUAGCAGCCAUUUCACUGUAGUGAGACCAUUUCUUUGAAACAAACAUCCAUUUAAAAAGAUGACUAUAUAUAAAUAUGAUUAUGUAUAAAAAUGCUAACUGUCUAAACUUUCUAAUACUAAAUCACAGCAUGGAUUUUUUGUGCUGUCCCUUCAGGUCUUAGUGUCUUAAUGUGGUAUUUUGGAGGGAGUUCUCAGGUGGUAAAGAAACUUAGGACCACAACUCUAUAACAAAUUGUAUCAACCCCCUAAUAGCUGAAACAACUUAUGAGACAUAAUAGAGCAUGAGAAUGACUGUCAUAUGCUGCCGUAAGCCCUUAUACACACUAAAUGUUCAAAGUUUGACUAGGCACCUAACCAAAACACAAUGCUUAUUACAGAUUUAUGGCACACAGUGCUGAGCUGCAUCUCAGAGGGUAAAGGAUAUCAAGAAAGUAACAAAGUAAAAUAGCACAUUUGCAGUAAUACUUGUCACAGAACUUUUGUUAUUGAAACACUGCCUAAAUUACUCUUUUGUCAAACCAUCAGAUUGUCAGAUACAUUUCCCCUCUGAA
Long non-coding RNA from Epinephelus moara (kelp grouper), 1462 nucleotides. RefSeq lists it as uncharacterized. The record is from RefSeq and is a predicted model, not a curated record. The transcript is spliced from 5 exons. Lineage: Eukaryota; Metazoa; Chordata; Actinopteri; Perciformes; Serranidae.